GGGGGUGAACUGACCACUACUAUGCAGUAGGAGACACGCGUCUCCGGAGAGCGCGCAGAGAAAAUGAAGGUGGUGGCGGAGAAGGCGGGACUUACAGGGAAAUAAGACGGGGGGGGGG
Molecule: non-coding RNA, 118 nt
Organism: Caenorhabditis elegans
Lineage: Eukaryota; Metazoa; Nematoda; Chromadorea; Rhabditida; Rhabditidae
Source: Ensembl